RNAcentral lists this ribosomal RNA (33 nucleotides) under Mycopappus alni. RNAcentral describes it as "partial 28S rRNA". Lineage: Eukaryota; Fungi; Ascomycota; Leotiomycetes; Helotiales; Sclerotiniaceae. The record is from RNAcentral.
AUGGUUGACCUCGGAUCAGGUAGGGAUACCCGC